CUCCGGGCGGCCGUGACCCUGCUGGAGUCCGGGGGGGACCUCCAGCCCCCCGGGGGGUCCCUGCGCCUCCUCUGCCGCGCCUCCGGAUUUGAUUUUGGGAGUUUUCGGAUGGGCUGGAUGCGCCAGAGACCCGGGAAGGCGCUGGAAUUCCUUGCACAGAUCAGCGGCAGUGGUGCUUACACGUACUAUGCGCCGUCCUUUAAGGGCCGGUUCACCAUCAGCAGGGACAACGGGCAGAGCUCGGUGACGCUGAGCAUGAACAACCUCCAGGACGAGGAUUCCGGGGUUUAUUUCUGUGCCAAACCGGCUGUGGCUGGCUGGGGUGUUGAUGCUGGUAAUGGUGAUGGUAGCUGUGCCAGACCCAAAGCACCACCGUUCAUGGAAAACAAAUGUCCCAGAAUUCCCAAAUCCUGCCCCAAUCCCAGCCCUGGGCCCCAAAUCUGGGUCCUUUCACCCCAAACUCCGCCCCUGCUGCCCCAACUCUCCCCUCUCAGCCGGGGCCAGAGCGAGCCCGGCUGGGGAUAA
Molecule: non-coding RNA, 525 nt
Organism: Poecile atricapillus (Black-capped chickadee)
Lineage: Eukaryota; Metazoa; Chordata; Aves; Passeriformes; Paridae
Source: the annotation of a RefSeq genome assembly